CGAACGGGGAUGCCAUUUUUGAGGCGGUUAGUUUACUAAGCGCCAAGAUGCCGGCAUCUUAGUGGCGGACGGGUGAGUAACGCGUGGGUAACCUGCCUUAUACAGGGGGAUAACACUUAGAAAUAGGUGCUAAUACCGCAUAAGCGCACGGGGCUGCAUGGCCCAGUGUGAAAAACUCCGGUGGUAUAAGAUGGACCCGCGUCUGAUUAGCUUGUUGGCGGGGUAACGGCCCACCAAGGCGACGAUCAGUAGCCGGCCUGAGAGGGUGGACGGCCACAUUGGGACUGAGACACGGCCCAAACUCCUACGGGAGGCAGCAGUGGGGAAUAUUGGACAAUGGGGGGAACCCUGAUCCAGCGACGCCGCGUGAGUGAAGAAGUAUUUCGGUAUGUAAAGCUCUAUCAGCAGGGAAGAAAGAAAUGACGGUACCUGACUAAGAAGCCCCGGCUAACUACGUGCCAGCAGCCGCGGUAAUACGUAGGGGGCAAGCGUUAUCCGGAUUUACUGGGUGUAAAGGGAGCGUAGACGGUUAUGCAAGUCUGGAGUGAAAGGCGGGGGCCCAACCCCCGGACUGCUUCCCCAACUGUGUAACUGGAGUGCAGGAGAGGUACCGUGGAAUUCCUAGUGUAGCGGUGAA
Molecule: ribosomal RNA, 637 nt
Filed under: uncultured bacterium
Lineage: Bacteria
Description: bacterial SSU rRNA
Rfam family: Bacterial small subunit ribosomal RNA
Source: RNAcentral